Molecule: ribosomal RNA, 830 nt
Filed under: uncultured Nocardioides sp.
Lineage: Bacteria; Bacillati; Actinomycetota; Actinomycetes; Propionibacteriales; Nocardioidaceae
Description: bacterial SSU rRNA
Rfam family: Bacterial small subunit ribosomal RNA
Source: RNAcentral
GGACGAACGCUGGCGGCGUGCUUAACACAUGCAAGUCGAGCGGUAAGGCCCUUCGGGGUACACGAGCGGCGAACGGGUGAGUAACACGUGAGUAAUCUGCCCUUCACUUCGGGAUAAGCCUCGGAAACGGGGUCUAAUACCGGAUAUGACCACUUCACGCAUGUGAUGGUGGUGGAAAGUUUUUUCGGUGGGGGAUGUGCUCGCGGCCUAUCAGCUUGUUGGUGGGGUAAUGGCCUACCAAGGCUUCGACGGGUAGCCGGCCUGAGAGGGUGACCGGCCACACUGGGACUGAGACACGGCCCAGACUCCUACGGGAGGCAGCAGUGGGGAAUAUUGGACAAUGGGCGGAAGCCUGAUCCAGCAACGCCGCGUGAGGGAUGACGGCCUUCGGGUUGUAAACCUCUUUCAGUGGGGACGAAGCGCAAGUGACGGUACCUACAGAAGAAGCACCGGCCAACUACGUGCCAGCAGCCGCGGUAAUACGUAGGGUGCGAGCGUUGUCCGGAAUUAUUGGGCGUAAAGGGCUCGUAGGCGGUUUGUCGCGUCGGGAGUGAAAACACCGGGCUUAACUCGGUGCUUGCUUUCGAUACGGGCAGACUAGAGGUAUUCAGGGGAGAACGGAAUUCCUGGUGUAGCGGUGAAAUGCGCAGAUAUCAGGAGGAACACCGGUGGCGAAGGCGGUUCUCUGGGAAUGACCUGACGCUGAGGAGCGAAAGUGUGGGGAGCGAACAGGAUUAGAUACCCUGGUAGUCCACACCGUAAACGUUGGGCGCUAGGUGUGGGGUCCAUUCCACGGAUUCCGUGCCGCAGCUAACGCAUUAAGCGCCCCG